This 568-nucleotide long non-coding RNA is filed under the name Callithrix jacchus (white-tufted-ear marmoset). RNAcentral's name for it is "lncRNA (ENSCJAG00000075112.1)". The record is from RNAcentral. Lineage: Eukaryota; Metazoa; Chordata; Mammalia; Primates; Cebidae.
AGAAAAUAAAACAUAUGGAGUAAACUGCAGGAUGUUGUGGUUUAUUCCAUGUUUUGGUAUUUUUAGCUGCUCCCAAUGAACCUAUAGUUCUGAAGUUUGCAUCCAAAGUAUAUUAAAAAUAAAUUCAUUAGCUAAGGAAUAUUAAAAAGCUGGCUAUAUAUUUGGGUUGAAUUUUCUUGUUUUGCAGGAAGCAACAGCCCUCAAUUGCCUGCAUUUUCUUUCCUCUUCAAAACCACUUCUGCUCCAAAGACCAUGAACCUGAACUGAAGAAACGACUCUUUCCUGCUGGCAUGAGAUAAUUCAGUCUCCAUGAUGUCUUAAUCCUGGGCCUCCCUUAAUUGACUUCUAACUGUGCUGAACUGUGGCUGUGAGGAGUUCCAAUGUGGAUUGCAAUUUACAAGGCACUGGAAUCGUUUCUUGUCUUCAAAUUAGUCCUGAGCUGUACUUGAGAAAGAAAAAAAAAGAGGGGGGCGACCUUUACCCUUCUUGCUGUCUUGCCACCUCAAGAAGAGAAAAAGACCUGACUCUGUUUGGAAAAUGCAAACAUGGAAGAACUCAGAAACAAUAG